UACGGAGGGUGCAAGCGUUAUCCGGAUUCAUUGGGCGUAAAGGGUGCGUAGGUGGCGGGGUAAGUCAGGUGUGAAAUCUCGGGGCUCAACCCCGAAACUGCACUUGAUACUGCCUUGCUCGAGUACUGGAGAGGAGAUUGGAAUUUACGGUGUAGCAGUGAAAUGCGUAGAUAUCGUAAGGAAGACCAGUGGCGAAGGCGAAUCUCUGGACAGUUACUGACACUGAGCACGAAGGCCAGGGGAGCAAACGGG
RNAcentral lists this ribosomal RNA (252 nucleotides) under uncultured bacterium. RNAcentral's name for it is "partial 16S ribosomal RNA". It matches the Rfam family "Bacterial small subunit ribosomal RNA", at positions 524 to 776 of the family's 1533-position model. The record is from RNAcentral.